RNAcentral lists this ribosomal RNA (1237 nucleotides) under 'Portulaca oleracea' phytoplasma. Its description in RNAcentral is "bacterial SSU rRNA". It matches the Rfam family "Bacterial small subunit ribosomal RNA", at positions 157 to 1394 of the family's 1533-position model. Lineage: Bacteria; Bacillati; Mycoplasmatota; Mollicutes; Acholeplasmatales; Acholeplasmataceae. The record is from RNAcentral.
CGACUGCUAAGACUGGAUAGGAGACAAGAAGGCAUCUUCUUGUUUUUAAAAGACCUAGCAAUAGGUAUGCUUAGGGAGGAGCUUGCGUCACAUUAGUUAGUUGGUGGGGUAAAGGCCUACCAAGACUAUGAUGUGUAGCCGGGCUGAGAGGUUGAACGGCCACAUUGGGACUGAGACACGGCCCAAACUCCUACGGGAGGCAGCAGUAGGGAAUUUUCGGCAAUGGAGGAAACUCUGACCGAGCAACGCCGCGUGAACGAUGAAGUAUUUCGGUACGUAAAGUUCUUUUAUUAGGGAAGAAUAAAUGAUGGAAAAAUCAUUCUGACGGUACCUAAUGAAUAAGCCCCGGCUAACUAUGUGCCAGCAGCCGCGGUAAUACAUAGGGGCCAAGCGUUAUCCGGAAUUAUUGGGCGUAAAGGGUGCGUAGGCGGUUAAAUAAGUUUAUGGUCUAAGUGCAAUGCUCAACAUUGUGAUGCUAUAAAAACUGUUUAGCUAGAGUAGGAUAGAGGCAAGUGGAAUUCCAUGUGUAGUGGUAAAAUGCGUAAAUAUAUGGAGGAACACCAGUAGCGAAGGCGGCUUGCUGGGUCUUUACUGACGCUGAGGCACGAAAGCGUGGGGAGCAAACAGGAUUAGAUACCCUGGUAGUCCACGCCGUAAACGAUGAGUACUAAACGUUGGGUAAAACCAGUGUUGAAGUUAACACAUUAAGUACUCCGCCUGAGUAGUACGUACGCAAGUAUGAAACUUAAAGGAAUUGACGGGACUCCGCACAAGCGGUGGAUCAUGUUGUUUAAUUCGAAGGUACCCGAAAAACCUCACCAGGUCUUGACAUGCUUCUGCAAAGCUGUAGAAACACAGUGGAGGUUAUCAGUUGCACAGGUGGUGCAUGGUUGUCGUCAGCUCGUGUCGUGAGAUGUUGGGUUAAGUCCCGCAACGAGCGCAACCCUUAUUGUUAGUUACCAGCACGUAAUGGUGGGGACUUUAGCAAGACUGCCAGUGAUAAAUUGGAGGAAGGUGGGGAUGACGUCAAAUCAUCAUGCCCCUUAUGACCUGGGCUACAAACGUGAUACAAUGGCUGUUACAAAGGGUAGCUGAAGCGCAAGUUUUUGGCGAAUCUCAAAAAAACAGUCUCAGUUCGGAUUGAAGUCUGCAACUCGACUUCAUGAAGUUGGAAUCGCUAGUAAUCGCGAAUCAGCAUGUCGCGGUGAAUACGUUCUCGGGGUUUGUACACACCGCC